This 1326-nucleotide ribosomal RNA is filed under the name Gemmatimonadota bacterium. Its description in RNAcentral is "Gemmatimonadetes bacterium partial 23S ribosomal RNA". It matches the Rfam family "Bacterial large subunit ribosomal RNA", at positions 1 to 1319 of the family's 2925-position model. Lineage: Bacteria; Pseudomonadati; Gemmatimonadota. The record is from RNAcentral.
GGUCAAGCGAGUAAGUGCACACGGCGGAUGCCUUGGCACAGACCGGCGAUGAAGGACGUGGCAAGCUGCGAAAAUCCUCGGGGAGCUGCAAGCAAGCACAGAUCCGGGGGUGUCCGAAUGGGGCAACCCGGCGGGAGCAAUCCCGUCACCCUUAGGGGAGCUAACCCAGGGAACUGAAACAUCUAAGUACCUGGAGGAAAAGAAAUCAAUCGAGAUUCCCAAAGUAGCGGCGAGCGAAAUGGGAAGAGCCCAAACCCGGGUGGGGUGACUCAACCGGGGGUUGUGGGGCCGUAUCAUCAGGCGAGACGAAAGCAUAGCGGAACGGUACUGGAACGUACGACCGCAGAGGGUGAGAGUCCCGUAUGCGAAAUGCGAGUAGGCGAGCUGAUGCGGACCCCGAGUAGGCCGGGACACGUGAAACCCUGGCUGAAUCCGGGAGGACCAUCUUCCAAGGCUAAAUACGAGUCUGUGACCGAUAGUGAAGAGUACCGUGAGGGAAAGGUGAAAAGAACGCCUGACGGCGAGUGAAAUAGACCCUGAAACCGUGUGCAUACAAGCGGUCGGAGCCCGACCCGGAUCUUCGGAUUCCCGGGGGUGGGUGACGGCGUGCCUUUUGCAUUAUGAUCCGGCGAGUUACUCCUCAUGCGCGAGGUUAAGGGCCUCAGGUCCGGAGCCGAAGCGAAAGCGAGUCUGAAUAGGGCGACGAGUGCAUGGGGGUAGACCCGAAACCGAAGCGAUCUAUCCAUGGCCAGGGUGAAGCCGGGGUAACACCUGGUGGAGGCCCGAACCGUUGUGGGUUGAAAACUGCUCGGAUGAGCUGUGGAUAGGGGUGAAAGGCCAAUCAAGCUCGGAGAUAGCUGGUUCUCCCCGAAAUAUAUUUAGGUAUAGCCUCAGGUAAUUGUCUCCAGGAGGUAGAGCACUGGAUGGGCUAGGGGCCUCACCAGGUUACCGAACCCAACCAAACUCCGAAUUCCUGCGAGAUCUAUCCUGGGAGUCAGUGGUCGGGCGAUAAUGUCCGUCUGCGAGAGGGAAAGACCCCAGACCGUCAGCUAAGGCCCCAAAAUCCGUGCUAAGUGAGAAAGGAUGUGGAUGCGCUUAGACAGCUAGGAGGUUGGCUUAGAAGCAGCAAUGCCUUUAAAGAGUGCGUAAUAGCUCACUAGUCAAGUGGAUCCGCGCCGAUAAUGGUCGGGACUCAAGCAUGGUGCCGAAGCUACGGAUGACGCAAGUCAUGGUAGGGGAGCAUUCCCUGGUCAGCGAAGCGGACUCGGAAGAGCAUCCGUGGAGAGCAGGGAAGAGAGUAUGCCGGAAUGAGUACGCGAUAAACAG